Molecule: ribosomal RNA, 1541 nt
Filed under: Staphylococcus aureus
Lineage: Bacteria; Bacillati; Bacillota; Bacilli; Caryophanales; Staphylococcaceae
Description: bacterial SSU rRNA
Rfam family: Bacterial small subunit ribosomal RNA
Source: RNAcentral
UUUAUGGAGAGUUUGAUCCUGGCUCAGGAUGAACGCUGGCGGCGUGCCUAAUACAUGCAAGUCGAGCGAACGGACGAGAAGCUUGCUUCUCUGAUGUUAGCGGCGGACGGGUGAGUAACACGUGGAUAACUACCUAUAAGACUGGGAUAACUUCGGGAAACCGGAGCUAAUACCGGAUAAUAUUUUGAACCGCAUGGUUCAAAGUGAAAGACGGUCUUGCUGUCACUUAUAGAUGGAUCCGCGCUGCAUUAGCUAGUUGGUAAGGUAACGGCUUACCAAGGCAACGAUGCAUAGCGACCUGAGAGGGUGAUCGGCCACACUGGAACUGAGACACGGUCCAGACUCCUACGGGAGCAGCAGUAGGGAAUCUUCCGCAAUGGGCGAAAGCCUGACGGAGCAACGCCGCGUGAGUGAUGAAGGUCUUCGGAUCGUAAAACUCUGUUAUUAGGGAAAGAACAUAUGUGUAAGUAACUGUGCACAUCUUGACGGUACCUAAUCAGAAAGCCACGGCUAACUACGUGCCAGCAGCCGCGGUAAUACGUAGGUGGCAAGCGUUAUCCGGAAUUAUUGGGCGUAAAGCGCGCGUAGGCGGUUUUUUAAGUCUGAUGUGAAAGCCCACGGCUCAACCGUGGAGGGUCAUUGGAAACUGGAAAACUUGAGUGCAGAAGAGGAAAGUGGAAUUCCAUGUGUAGCGGUGAAAUGCGCAGAGAUAUGGAGGAACACCAGUGGCGAAGGCGACUUUCUGGUCUGUAACUGACGCUGAUGUGCGAAAGCGUGGGGAUCAAACAGGAUUAGAUACCCUGGUAGUCCACGCCGUAAACGAUGAGUGCUAAGUGUUAGGGGGUUUCCGCCCCUUAGUGCUGCAGCUAACGCAUUAAGCACUCCGCUGGGGAGUACGACCGCAAGGUUGAAACUCAAAGGAAUUGACGGGGACCCGCACAAGCGGUGGAGCAUGUGUUUAAUUCGAAGCAACGCGAAGAACCUUACCAAAUCUUGACAUCCUUUGACAACUCUAGAGAUAGAGCUUUCCCCUUCGGGGACAAAGUGACAGGUGGUGCAUGGUUGUCGUCAGCUCGUGUCGUGAGAUGUUGGGUUAAGUCCGCAACGAGCGCAACCUUAAGCUUAGUGCAUCAUUAAGUUGGGCACUCUAAGUUGACUGCCGGUGACAAACCGGAGGAAGGUGGGGAUGACGUCAAAUCAUAUGCCCCUUAUGAUUUGGCUACACACGUGCUACAAUGGACAAUACAAAGGGCAGCGAAACCGCGAGGUCAAGCAAAUCCCAUAAAGUUGUUCUCAGUUCGGAUUGUAGUCUGCAACUCGACUACAUGAAGCUGGAAUCGCUAGUAAUCGUAGAUCAGCAUGCUACGGUGAAUACGUUCCCGGGUCUUGUACACACCGCCCGUCACACCACGAGAGUUUGUAACACCCGAAGCCGGUGGAGUAACCUUUUAGGAGCUAGCCGUCGAAGGUGGGACAAAUGAUUGGGGUGAAGUCGUAACAAGGUAGCCGUAUCGGAAGGUGCGCUGGAUACAUCUCUAAGG